AGGUCAAAUCGAGAUAUUGAAUUUUCAUAUCUAUAUGUCGAUUUGAUCUCCGCUUCGCUUGGAGUUUCUUUCCCUGGUUCUCAUCGAUACUCUAAGCGAAAGAUCACCAUAAUCAUGAUGCUCUUCAUGAACGGCGUCAUGGAUUUGGCGUGAACGAAGGUGGUUCGUGGAUUCGGAUCGUAGGCUCGUGGAUUCGAGUGGCGUCGUGGAUUCGGCGUGAUUGAAGCUUCGUGGAUUCGAAGUGGAGGCGUUCGUGGAUUCGAACGUGAGGGCGUGGACAACCCGGAGGAUUGCACGAGAUUCAUAGGAGGUUAAGAGAGGUUGAGUCCGUGGAGUCGGUAAUCACCUUGUAAUCUUUUCUCUUAGUGAAUUAUUUUUUCGCGUGUUGGUCCCGUGGGUUUUUCUCCAAGUUGGAGUUUUCCCACGUAAAUCUCGGUGUGAUUUUUAUUUUCCGCAUUUAUUUUUGUUGCAUCGAGAUUUGUGGUUUUUGGCUAUUUCACCUAUUCACCCCCCUCUAGGUGAUAGAUACAAUCUAGAUAGAUCCUUGGACUCCUCAAAACUUUCAGCUCCUGGUUGGAGUGUGUGCGAAUUCUGAAGUGAGAAUUUCGCCCUAGUGAUGAUUGGGUCUACGCUUGCGAGCGAGAGGUGCUAUGUGUAUGUUGAGACAGGUUUAGGCUGUAGGCCUACGUAGUAUUGGUGGCCUUUGGACCACCAAUGGAAACCGAGGAAAGCGAUUUGGUGGAUAGCCUUAUCGAGAGGUUUGACUCGAAUUCACGAGCAAAGUGUUCAUGUGAGCUCUUUGCAAAAUGGUUUGACGUUGAUCGUGGCAUAUAGUAUCGAAAAAUGAAGUGCUCUUGGAGAGACCUUGAGCUUAUGGCAAGCCACGUGGAAUUUGAGGAUUGGAAGUGGGGAUGUGCCGAAGUGGACCAUCUCACCUUAGAGCAAGAGGUCGGUGCGGGAUUAGAGCACUCACGAUGAAGCGAUGCACCGGUGAUAUUGCUUUUAGGCAAUGUCAGUGAUCG
RNAcentral lists this long non-coding RNA (1022 nucleotides) under Ananas comosus (pineapple). RNAcentral describes it as "long non-coding RNA (ACOM_LNC042446)". The record is from RNAcentral. Lineage: Eukaryota; Viridiplantae; Streptophyta; Magnoliopsida; Poales; Bromeliaceae.